RNAcentral lists this ribosomal RNA (492 nucleotides) under uncultured bacterium. RNAcentral's name for it is "partial 16S ribosomal RNA". It matches the Rfam family "Bacterial small subunit ribosomal RNA", at positions 29 to 507 of the family's 1533-position model. The record is from RNAcentral.
AGUGAACGCUGGCGGUAGGCCUAACACAUGCAAGUCGAACGGCAGCACAGUAAGAGCUUGCUCUUACGGGUGGCGAGUGGCGGACGGGUGAGGAAUACAUCGGAAUCUACUUUUUCGUGGGGGAUAACGUAGGGAAACUUACGCUAAUACCGCAUACGACCUACGGGUGAAAGCAGGGGAUCUUCGGACCUUGCGCGAUUGAAUGAGCCGAUGUCGGAUUAGCUAGUUGGCGGGGUAAAGGCCCACCAAGGCGACGAUCCGUAGCUGGUCUGAGAGGAUGAUCAGCCACACUGGAAAUGAGACACGGUCCAGAAUCCUACGGGAGGCAGCCGUGGGGAAUAUUGGACAAUGGGCGCAAGCCUGAUCCAGCCAUACCGCGUGGGUGAAGAAGGCCUUCGGGUUGUAAAGCCCUUUUGUUGGGAAAGAAAAGCAGCAGGUUAAUACCCCGCUGUUCUGACGGUACCCAAAGAAUAAGCACCGGCUAACUUCGUG